Molecule: ribosomal RNA, 547 nt
Filed under: uncultured bacterium
Lineage: Bacteria
Description: bacterial SSU rRNA
Rfam family: Bacterial small subunit ribosomal RNA
Source: RNAcentral
UGGGGAAUAUUGCGCAAUGGGGGGAACCCUGACGCAGCCAUGCCGCGUGAAUGAAGAAGGCCUUCGGGUUGUAAAGUUCUUUCGGUAUUGAGGAAGGUUGAUGUGUUAAUAGCACAUCAAAUUGACGUUAAAUACAGAAGAAGCACCGGCUAACUCCGUGCCAGCAGCCGCGGUAAUACGGAGGGUGCGAGCGUUAAUCGGAAUAACUGGGCGUAAAGGGCACGCAGGCGGUUAUUUAAGUGAGGUGUGAAAGCCCCGGGCUUAACCUAGGAAUUGCAUUUCAGACUGGGUAACUAGAGUACUUUAGGGAGGGGUAGAAUUCCACGUGUAGCGGUGAAAUGCGUAGAGAUGUGGAGGAAUACCGAAGGCGAAGGCAGCCCCUUGGGAAUGUACUGACGCUCAUGUGCGAAAGCGUGGGGAGCAAACAGGAUUAGAUACCCUGGUAGUCCACGCUGUAAACGCUGUCGAUUUGGGGGUUGGGGUUUAACUCUGGCGCCCGUAGCUAACGUGAUAAAUCGACCGCCUGGGGAGUACGGCCGCAAGGUUA